Molecule: non-coding RNA, 242 nt
Organism: Caretta caretta (loggerhead turtle)
Lineage: Eukaryota; Metazoa; Chordata; Testudines; Cheloniidae
Source: RefSeq, a predicted model, not a curated record
CAACAACUGGCGCCCAAACGUGGGGCCCUCAGCACUCACCUCGCCCGGCAAGGGUUUCAGACGCGUCACUCAUCCGCUUCGCGGAUCCCGGGCUGGUGGACACUGGAGCUGACGUUACGGUGAUUCGUGAUCCGGAGUGGCCGGUCGAUGCGGACCUUCUUCGCCUGUUUUUGUCCUUACAGUAUCUCAUCACCACUCGUAAUUUCCCUUAUUUUGUUGCUCAUAUUCGCAGUCAUACCCCU